This 315-nucleotide ribosomal RNA is filed under the name uncultured eukaryote. RNAcentral describes it as "partial 18S ribosomal RNA". It matches the Rfam family "Eukaryotic small subunit ribosomal RNA", at positions 1470 to 1796 of the family's 1831-position model. The record is from RNAcentral.
CCCUUAGAUGUUCUGGGCUGCACGCGCGCUACACUGACGCACGCAACAGGUGCCUGCUCCGCGAGGACUGGGUAAUCAUUUGAGUGUGCGUCGUGAUGGGGAUAGAAUAUUGUAAUUAUUACUCUUCAACGAGGAAUUCCUAGUAAGCGCAAGUCAGCAGCUUGCGCUGAUUACGUCCCUGCCCUUUGUACACACCGCCCGUCGCUCCUACCGAUGGGUGAUCCGGUGAAUGAUUCGGACUUCAGCGGCUCCUCUGGGGUGCGCCGGAGAAAGUUUUGUGAACCUUAUCACUUGGAGGAAGGAGAAGUCGUAACA